CAGUCGCCACGGUAACACCAGCACCUCAAGUGGUCAGGAGGUUUAUUGGGCCUAAAGCAUCCGUAGCCGGUUGCAUAAGUUUUCGGUUAAAUCUAUGCGCUUAACGUAUAGGCCGCCGAAAAUACUGUGCAGCUAGGGAGUGGGAGAGGUACACGGUACUCGAUAGGAAGGGGUAAAAUCCUUUGAUCUAUUGAUGACCACCUGUGGCGAAGGCGGUGUACCAGAACACGUUCGACGGUGAGGGAUGAAAGCUGGGGGAACAAACCGGAUUAGAUACCCGCGUAGUCCCUGUCUCUUAUAC
Molecule: ribosomal RNA, 301 nt
Filed under: uncultured bacterium
Lineage: Bacteria
Description: partial 16S ribosomal RNA
Rfam family: Archaeal small subunit ribosomal RNA
Source: RNAcentral